AGUAACGCGUGAGGAACCUGCCCUCCAAAAGGGGGACAACAGUUGGAAAACGACUGCUAAUACCGCAUAAGCCCACGGCUCGGCAUCGAGCAGAGGGAAAAGGAGUAAUCCGCUUUGAGAUGGCCUCGCGUCCGAUUAGCUAGUUGGUGAGGUAAAGGCUCACCAAGGCGACGAUCGGUAGCUGGUCUGAGAGGACGACCAGCCACACUGGGACUGAGACACGGCCCAG
Molecule: ribosomal RNA, 229 nt
Filed under: uncultured bacterium
Lineage: Bacteria
Description: partial 16S ribosomal RNA
Rfam family: Bacterial small subunit ribosomal RNA
Source: RNAcentral